This 305-nucleotide ribosomal RNA is filed under the name uncultured bacterium. RNAcentral describes it as "bacterial SSU rRNA". It matches the Rfam family "Bacterial small subunit ribosomal RNA", at positions 333 to 635 of the family's 1533-position model. The record is from RNAcentral.
UCUGUCCUACGGGACGCAGCAGUGAGGAAUAUUGGUCAAUGGGAGGAAUCCUGAACCAGCCAUGCCGCGUGCAGGACGACGGCUCUACGAGUUGUAAACUGCUUUUGUACCGGGGUAAAAUGCCUUACGAGUAGGGUUUUGAAAGUACGGUACGAAUAAGGAUCGGCUAACUCCGUGCCAGCAGCCGCGGUAAUACGGAGGAUCCGAGCGUUAUCCGGAUUCAUUGGGUUUAAAGGGUGCGUAGGUUGUUUUAUAAGUUAGCGGUGAAAUACCGGGGCUCAACCCCGGGGCUGCCGUUGAAACCG